UACGUAGGGUGCAAGCGUUGUCCGGAAUUAUUGGGCGUAAAGAGCUCGUAGGCGGUUCGUCGCGUCGGCUGUGAAAUCCCGAGGCUCAACCUCGGGUCUGCAGUCGAUACGGGCGGACUGGAGUUCGGCAGGGGAGACUGGAAUUCCUGGUGUAGCGGUGAAAUGCGCAGAUAUCAGGAGGAACACCGGUGGCGAAGGCGGGUCUCUGGGCCGUAACUGACGCUGAGAAGCGAAAGCGUGGGGAGCGAACAGG
RNAcentral lists this ribosomal RNA (253 nucleotides) under uncultured bacterium. RNAcentral's name for it is "partial 16S ribosomal RNA". It matches the Rfam family "Bacterial small subunit ribosomal RNA", at positions 524 to 776 of the family's 1533-position model. The record is from RNAcentral.